AGUGAACGCUGGCGGUAGGCCUAACACAUGCAAGUCGAACGGCAGCACAGUAAGAGCUUGCUCUUACGGGUGGCGAGUGGCGGACGGGUGAGGAAUACAUCGGAAUCUACUUUUUCGUGGGGGAUAACGUAGGGAAACUUACGCUAAUACCGCAUACGACCUACGGGUGAAAGCAGGGGAUCUUCGGACCUUGCGCGAUUGAAUGAGCCGAUGUCGGAUUAGCUAGUUGGCGGGGUAAAGGCCCACCAAGGCGACGAUCCGUAGCUGGUCUGAGAGGAUGAUCAGCGACACUGGAACUGAGACACGGUCCAGACUCCUACGGGAGGCAGCAGUGGGGAAUAUUGGACAAUGGGCGCAAGCCUGAUCCAGCCAUACCGCGUGGGUGGAGAAGGCCUUCGGGUUGUAAAGCCCUUUUGUUGGGAAAGAAAAGCAGCAGGUUAAUACCCCGCUGUUCUGACGGUACCCAAAGAAGAAGCACCGGCUAACUUCGUG
RNAcentral lists this ribosomal RNA (492 nucleotides) under uncultured bacterium. Its description in RNAcentral is "partial 16S ribosomal RNA". It matches the Rfam family "Bacterial small subunit ribosomal RNA", at positions 29 to 507 of the family's 1533-position model. The record is from RNAcentral.